AAUCCGGUAGUUCAGCUGGUUAGAAUGUCGCACUGUCAUCUCGUCCUAAAGACGAGACGGGUUCGAGUCCCGUCCGGA
Molecule: transfer RNA, 78 nt
Filed under: Chryseobacterium sp. SN22
Lineage: Bacteria; Pseudomonadati; Bacteroidota; Flavobacteriia; Flavobacteriales; Weeksellaceae
Description: tRNA-OTHER
Rfam family: tRNA
About the family: Transfer RNA (tRNA) molecules are approximately 80 nucleotides in length. Their secondary structure includes four short double-helical elements and three loops (D, anti-codon, and T loops).
Source: RNAcentral